UCCGGUUUGUCACCGGCAGUCUCAUUAGAGUGCCCUUUCGUAGCAACUAAUGACAAGGGUUGCGCUCGUUGCGGGACUUAACCCAACAUCUCACGACACGAGCUGACGACAGCCAUGCAGCACCUCUAUGGCGGCCCCCGAAGGGGAAGCCCUAUUUCUAGGACGGUCCGCCACAGUUCAAGCCCAGGUAAGGUUCUUCGCGUUGCAUCGAAUUAAGCCGCAUGCUCCGCCGCUUGUGCGGGGACCCGUCAAUUCCUUUGAGUUUUAGCCUUGCGGCCGUACUCCCCAGGCGGGAUACUUAAUGCGCUAGCUUCGGCACGGCAGUCGUUGAUAAACCGCCACACCUAGUAUCCAACGUUUACGGCGUGGACUAC
RNAcentral lists this unclassified non-coding RNA (374 nucleotides) under uncultured bacterium. RNAcentral's name for it is "contains 16S-23S intergenic spacer region". The record is from RNAcentral.